GACGAACGCUGGCGGCGUGCUUAACACAUGCAAGUCGAACGGAAAGGCCCUGCUUUUGUGGGGUGCUCGAGUGGCGAACGGGGGAGUAACACGUGAGUAACCUGUCCUUGACUUUGGGAUAACUUCAGGAAACUGGGGCUAAUACCGGAUAGGAGCUCCUGCUGCACGGUGGGGGUUGGAAAGUUUCGGCGGUUGGGGAUUGACUCGCGGCUUAUCAGCUUGUUGGUGGGGUAGUGGCUUACCAAGGCUUUGACGGGUAGCCGGCCUGAGAGGGUGACCGGCCACAUUGGGACUGAGAUACGGCCCAGACUCCUACGGGAGGCAGCAGUGGGGAAUAUUGCACAAUGGGCGGAAGCCUGAUGCGGCAGCGCCGCGUGCGGGAUGACGGCCUUCGGGUUGUAAACCGCUUUCGCCUGUGACGAAGCGUGAGUGACGGUAAUGGGUAAAGAAGCACCGGCUAACUACGUG
RNAcentral lists this ribosomal RNA (468 nucleotides) under uncultured bacterium. RNAcentral describes it as "partial 16S ribosomal RNA". It matches the Rfam family "Bacterial small subunit ribosomal RNA", at positions 28 to 507 of the family's 1533-position model. The record is from RNAcentral.